AUUGAACGCUAGCGGGAUGCUUUACACAUGCAAGUCGAACGGCAGCGCGGACUUCGGUCUGGCGGCGAGUGGCGAACGGGUGAGUAAUUUAUCGGAACGUGCCCAGUAGCGGGGGAUAACUACGCGAAAGCGUAGCUAAUACCGCAUACGCCCUACGGGGGAAAGCAGGGGAUCGUAAGACCUUGCACUAUUGGAGCGGCCGAUAUCGGAUUAGCUAGUUGGUGAGGUAACGGCUCACCAAGGCGACGAUCCGUAGCUGGUUUGAGAGGACGACCAGCCACACUGGGACUGAGACACGGCCCAGACUCCUACGGGAGGCAGCAGUGGGGAAUUUUGGACAAUGGGGGCAACCCUGAUCCAGCCAUCCCGCGUGUGCGAUGAAGGCCUUCGGGUUGUAAAGCACUUUUGGCAGGAAAGAAACGUCGCGGGCUAAUACCCCGUGGAACUGACGGUACCUGCAGAAUAAGCACCGGCUAACUACGUG
RNAcentral lists this ribosomal RNA (484 nucleotides) under uncultured bacterium. RNAcentral's name for it is "partial 16S ribosomal RNA". It matches the Rfam family "Bacterial small subunit ribosomal RNA", at positions 30 to 507 of the family's 1533-position model. The record is from RNAcentral.